This 883-nucleotide ribosomal RNA is filed under the name uncultured Arcobacter sp. Its description in RNAcentral is "bacterial SSU rRNA". It matches the Rfam family "Bacterial small subunit ribosomal RNA", at positions 270 to 1168 of the family's 1533-position model. The record is from RNAcentral. Lineage: Bacteria; Pseudomonadati; Campylobacterota; Epsilonproteobacteria; Campylobacterales; Arcobacteraceae.
AAGACAAUGACGCUUAACUGGUUUGAGAGGAUGAUCAGUCACACUGGAACUGAGACACGGUCCAGACUCCUACGGGAGGCAGCAGUGGGGAAUAUUGCACAAUGGGGGAAACCCUGAUGCAGCAACGCCGCGUGGAGGAUGACACAUUUCGGUGCGUAAACUCCUUUUAUAUAGGAAGAUAAUGACGGUACUAUAUGAAUAAGCGCCGGCUAACUCCGUGCCAGCAGCCGCGGUAAUACGGAGGGCGCAAGCGUUACUCGGAAUCACUGGGCGUAAAGAGCGUGUAGGCGGAUAGAUAAGUCAGAAGUGAAAUCCUAUGGCUCAACCAUAGAACUGCUUUUGAAACUGUUUAUCUAGAGUGUGGGAGAGGUAGAUGGAAUUUCUGGUGUAGGGGUAAAAUCCGUAGAGAUCAGAAGGAAUACCGAUUGCGAAGGCGAUCUACUGGAACAUUACUGACGCUGAGACGCGAAAGCGUGGGGAGCAAACAGGAUUAGAUACCCUGGUAGUCCACGCCCUAAACGAUGUACACUAGUUGUUGUGAGGCUAGACCUUGCAGUAAUGCAGUUAACACAUUAAGUGUACCGCCUGGGGAGUACGGUCGCAAGAUUAAAACUCAAAGGAAUAGACGGGGACCCGCACAAGCGGUGGAGCAUGUGGUUUAAUUCGACGAUACACGAAGAACCUUACCUGGUCUUGACAUAGUAAGAACUUUCUAGAGAUAGAUUGGUGUCUGCUUGCAGAAACUUAUAUACAGGUGCUGCACGGCUGUCGUCAGCUCGUGUCGUGAGAUGUUGGGUUAAGUCCCGCAACGAGCGCAACCCUCGUCGUUAGUUGCUAACAGUUCGGCUGAGAACUCUAACGAGACUGCCUACGCAAGUAGGAG